UCCUGCUACCCUGUAAAGAGGUGCCUUCCACCAUGAUUGUGAGUUUCCCGAGGCCUCCCCAGCCAUGUGGAACUCUAUGAUUUUCACUGCAAUGUUGAAUAGAAGUGGCAAGAAAGGACAUCCUUGUCGUGUUCCUGAUGUCAGGAGAAACGCACUCAGUUUCUUACCAGCAAUGGGACAUGGAACAGGAGAAGGAACAGCAGGAAAGAACCUGGGAGCAGUUCUACAGAGCAGGAGGAGGCUUCCAUUGCAACUUCUACAGAAAGUUCAGGAAAAUAACGACUUUCAACAUUAUAGAAUUUCAACUUAGAAGUGAUCAUUUUCAACUGAUGAAUCUCAUUGAGGAAGACGAGACAUCAAGAGGUAGAAGACUAACUCAGCAAGUGGUACA
Long non-coding RNA from Pongo pygmaeus (Bornean orangutan), 391 nucleotides. RefSeq lists it as uncharacterized. The transcript is spliced from 4 exons. The record is from RefSeq and is a predicted model, not a curated record. NCBI's taxonomy places the organism in Eukaryota, Metazoa, Chordata, Mammalia, Primates, Hominidae.